CAUCAGUUUUUUAAAAUGACUACCUUGCUCUUUCCCUGUGGGGACCCCGUGUGCAAUGGAUGCAAACAGUAGCCUCCUUGGUAGUGAAUGCAGCCUGUUGACUGUAUGGGUUGCCCUAAGGGACCUUGGAGACAGCC
Non-coding RNA from Ailuropoda melanoleuca (giant panda), 137 nucleotides. The record is from Rfam. Lineage: Eukaryota; Metazoa; Chordata; Mammalia; Carnivora; Ursidae.